Molecule: non-coding RNA, 21 nt
Filed under: Arabidopsis thaliana (thale cress)
Lineage: Eukaryota; Viridiplantae; Streptophyta; Magnoliopsida; Brassicales; Brassicaceae
Source: RNAcentral
UAGGAGGUGGUGAAGACAUGA